GGAGUAGUGUCUGAGUGGUUGAAGGUAUUCGUCUCGAAAACGGAUGUACCGUGAGGUACCGGGGGUUCGAAUCCCUCCUACUCCG
Molecule: transfer RNA, 85 nt
Filed under: Cardinium endosymbiont cEper1 of Encarsia pergandiella
Lineage: Bacteria; Pseudomonadati; Bacteroidota; Cytophagia; Cytophagales; Amoebophilaceae
Description: tRNA-Ser (CGA) (tRNA-Ser-CGA-1-1)
Rfam family: tRNA
About the family: Transfer RNA (tRNA) molecules are approximately 80 nucleotides in length.
Source: RNAcentral